UACGCAGGCGGAAAAUUAAGUCAGUGGUGAAAUCCUGCAGCUUAACUGUAGAACUGUCAUUGAUACUGGUUUUCUUGAAUAUAGUUGAGGUAGGCGGAAUGUGUAAUGUAGCGGCGAAAUGCUUAGAUAUUACACAGAACACCGAUUGCGAAGGCAGCUUACUAAGCUAUGAUUGACGCUGAGGUACGAAAGCGUGGGGAGCGAACAGGAUUAGAUACCCUGGUAGUCC
Molecule: ribosomal RNA, 229 nt
Filed under: uncultured bacterium
Lineage: Bacteria
Description: partial 16S ribosomal RNA
Rfam family: Bacterial small subunit ribosomal RNA
Source: RNAcentral